This 530-nucleotide unclassified non-coding RNA is filed under the name Hevea brasiliensis (rubber tree). Lineage: Eukaryota; Viridiplantae; Streptophyta; Magnoliopsida; Malpighiales; Euphorbiaceae. The record is from RNAcentral.
AACUCAGAACCAAAACCAGUCAAACCCAGAUUGACUAAAAAUGGACUUGAACCGGACUGAAACCAUAUUGGGCCAAACUUUUUUUUCCCUUAAAAAAAAAGGAAAAAAUUUUGACCAUUAAAUUUGAUCAAAACCGGAAUCAAAAUAGGGACAGAAACUGGAAUGAGAGGGGGACCCUUUGGUCUGGUUCCGGUUCCCUGGCCCUUGAACCAGAACUGCAGGUCCAGGAGCCAGAACCGUGGCUGGCCCUAGUAUUAGGUGAUAGGGAAAUUCAUCUGAAGGUGGCAGCAGAUUCAAAUCCUGAAACUUUGUGCAUGGGUGGUGAAAUUUCAGGAUUUUUUUUUUUGUGUGUGAUUGUGUGACAAAAUUAGAUCAGAGUUCAAUAGAUAUUGCAGUAAAAUCAACAUGUCCUGGCUCCAUAGGCUAUCACCAUUGUUGUUGAAAAUACAAAGGUCAAAAAAGUACCAUGAAUUCUUGCAAUUUCACUUUCUGGUUCUAGAAACGUACCUCACCAAUCUCUCUAUAAUGAA